AUACGGAGGGUGCAAGCGUUACUCGGAAUCACUGGGCGUAAAGCGCGCGCAGGCGGCUUGAUAAGUUGGAUGUGAAAGCCUACGGCUCAACCGUAGAACUGCAUCCAAAACUGUCAGUCUAGAGUCUGGGAGGGGAAGAUGGAAUUAGUUGUGUAGGGGUAAAAUCCGUAGAGAUAACUAGGAAUACCAAAAGCGAAGGCGAUCUUCUGGAACAGUACUGACGCUGAGGCGCGAAAGCGUGGGGAGCAAACAGGAUUAGAAACCCCAGUAGUCC
This 274-nucleotide ribosomal RNA is filed under the name uncultured bacterium. RNAcentral's name for it is "partial 16S ribosomal RNA". It matches the Rfam family "Bacterial small subunit ribosomal RNA", at positions 523 to 796 of the family's 1533-position model. The record is from RNAcentral.